This is a long non-coding RNA of Sparus aurata (gilthead seabream), 2189 nucleotides long. Lineage: Eukaryota; Metazoa; Chordata; Actinopteri; Spariformes; Sparidae. The record is from Ensembl.
GGCCAUUUGAGUGUAAGAUUUGAGAUAACAGGAAAAAAAGUCUACAUCAUCAAAAGAUUAAUGAAAAGUAAUUUUUUGUGAUUUUCUCUAGAUCCAUAGGUUCUUCACAGCCGACUGACAACACGUACUGUUUACUGCAGAACCCCAAAACAUCUGGAAGGCAUCCAAAGUGACCAGUCAGCUGUUUGUGAUGUCAGACCUGACUUUGGUUGAUGAUGUCAGUUGUUUUAUUUAAAUUGUGAACGUGUAUAAUAUUUUGACGUGUGUUUUAUGUAAAUAUUAGAUAGAUACAUUUUUUUUACAAUACAACAUCUGUUAUUUCUAGAUUCUUACCUGUUGAAACUGACCCAUUCUGCAGAAUAAAUGUUUGUACAGUUCUGUAAAACCGCAAAUAACCUGAAGCUUUUAUUUCUUUAUGUUGCAACUUCAAGCUUGUUUACGUUUGUAUUUCUCUCUUGUCACAAUGUUGUGCUGAUGCUCUGGUUGGAUUUAGACAGAAAAAAAACACUUCAUCACAUCGUGGUGAAGGCGUGGGCUGGGGCCCACUGGAGGCUGGUGGCGAAGGCGUGGGCUUGGACCCACUGGAGGCUGGUGGCGAAGGUAUGGGCCGGACCCCCCUGGAGGCCAGCGGCAAAGAUGAAGGCUGAAACUCUCUUGAGGCUGGACCGCUGGCUGGGAAACCCUCCUGGGUCUUGGCCGGACCACCGACAGAGGUUCGCUGGGAGCUGAUGAAGGGUCACUGGGAGCUGAUGAAGGGUCGCUGGCAGCAAACGACCUUGGCCGGGCCUCCGACUGAGGAGCUGGCACUGGACUUGGCCAGGCCUCCGACCAAGGAGCAGGCACUGGACUUGGCACGGGACUCGGCCGGGCCUCCGACCGAGGGGCUUGGACUGGACUCGGCCGGGCCUAUGACUGAGAAGCAGGCACAGGACUCGGCCGGGCCUCCAACCGAGGAGCAGGGACUGGACUUGGCACGGGACUCGGCCGGGCCUCCGACCGAGGGGCUUGGACUGGACUCGGCCGGGCCUCCGACCGAGGAGCAGGCACAGGACUCGGCCGGGCCUCCGACUGAGGAGCAGGCACAGGACUUGGCUGGGCCUCCGACCGAGGAGCUGGGACUGGACUCGGCCGGGCCUCCGACCGAGGAGCAGGGAUAGGUGUCAACCUGGCCGCCGACUGAAGGCCACUGGCAGGUGUCAGCCACACCAUAAGCGGAGUAAACUCGGCAAGCGCUGGCUGGGCAGUUGACAAUGGAGCUGGGGCUCCAGAGCCAGACUUCAGGGAGCCAGGACGCGGCCGAGAACGUCGCUUUCUUGGUGGGGGCACUUUGUAGGCCAGCCGGGUUCCCCAGAAAGGAGAAAUUUCAGCUGAGGCUGUAGCUGAGGCAUGGGCUGAGGCCAGAGCUGAGGCAUGGGCUUUGGCUGGUAGCUUGGCUGUGGCUUGAAUAAAAACGUUGCUAGCAGCAAUUUGACAAGCCCUGCUAGCCGGAUUUGUACCAGUCUUGGUACCAGCGAAUUGUUGCCAAGCCAUCAACUGCUGGGUCCUCUUCUGGUCUGGUCAUUCUGUCAGGUUGGGGUUUUAAGGGGAAAACCAUGGAUAAAGGAGGUGUUGGACCCAAAUGCAGUUUAACAGGAGGCAAGAUCAGGGGAAAAACAAAAAGCGAGCUUUAUUUUAAAGCUGAGCACAAAACCAAAAGCAGACAAAACGGGAAAGAGAAGCAAAGUACAAACAAAAGGACAAAGUACAAAUCAAAGGCAAAGUUCAAAUCAAAAAAAUGCAAAAUGCAAAACUCAAGUCCAAAAACACAUACCGUGUGGAGCAAGGAACAGACAGGAGUAGGCGCAAGAACAGGAGCAUGGACGCAGACAGAAGCUGACAAAUACAAUGGCCGGACAAGGAGUGAAGGGAACACAGAGACUAAAUACACAAACACUGAUGACAAGGCGAGGAACAGGUGAGGUGGACCAACAGGUGAGAUUACGAGUGGAAUGCAUGGAUGAGAACACUGACAGACAGAGGGAGACAGAGGGAAGAACAUAGGAGACACUUAAAGGACACAUGAGGGCAUGGAAAAAUCAAAACAUAAGACACAAGACAUGAUACAAAGACAUGGAAAUCAAAUACAAGAACCCACAAGACAAAACCAGACACAAGAACACAACAAACAUGAAUCUACAGUCAUGACAGAC